Molecule: long non-coding RNA, 2712 nt
Filed under: Pan troglodytes (chimpanzee)
Lineage: Eukaryota; Metazoa; Chordata; Mammalia; Primates; Hominidae
Description: lincRNA
Source: RNAcentral
AUAUCCUGCCUGAGCCUGGGCCGGGUGGAGGUGUCCUGCAUGGAGUCUUGUGAAAUCGGUUGGACUGCAACACUCAGCAGCGCGCCGCCCUGGGUCCUGCCACUGAGCAGCUGUUGGUAGGCUCUGCUGUGAGGUCUCCUCUUCCGGCUUUCCCACUUCCCAAGUGUUGGUUAAGGAAUCCAGAUGUUACCGCAAUAACCACUCCAUAAACAAAAGGAACACCCAGCUGUGAGAACUGGCUUCUCAGCAUUCGUCCCAGCAGAGGCUCUUCCGGGGCUGGGUUCUGAUGGUUGCCCUGUUUCAGCACAGCCCUUAUUGGCAGGCAGACGGCACGGGCACAGCCACAGGCUGAAGUGUCAACACUUCAAACAACACAGACAGUACAAUGACAAAUUGGAGAUCAGCUCUAAUCUCGGCCCCCAAUUUAAUGCAUUGCUGAAUAUUCUUCUGAACAUAGUCCAUCCCACACUGUCCCAUGACACAAGACGCUCCAAGGGGCUGAAGAUAGAGGGACUUCUGCAGUCAAGAGAGCUGGGAAACUCUUGGACAGUCACAAUGUGCAUUUGGGUAUUAAAGGCUCUGAAAAGUUCUGCACCAAAUAAACCCUUGGAUUGGCUUGAUCCGAUGCCAUGUUUCCAAAACCUACUUGCCCGUGGGACACCUUAGUCCAUAACACAGGUUGGCAUUUCUUCUAGAGAGUGUGCUGUGAAAAACACUGGUCUCACAACACUGUGCAUUCAUCCAGCAGGUAUUUACCAAGCAGGGACUUUGGGCCAGGUCCGUGCUAGGCUCUGCAGGUGGACCAGCCAGCCCUGACCUCCAUGGUGUCGCUUCUCAUGGGAGAGGCUGCACAGCAGUCAUUGAGAAAAUGAAGAAACACACAGGUACUUUCAGAUGCUGAUAAUGACUACCAUGUGCUAAAAGAGCUCCAGGUGUUGUCUAUUUUGAGACAAUCUUCUCGACAAUGAGAUAGAAUGAACCAUGCAAACUUUGGGGGCUACGAUGGUUUUAGGAAAGAGCUAGAGUGAAAAAUCCUUUGACAUAUAUACAUACAAAUAAAGAUACAUGUGUAUAAUUUUAUGUAAUUGACAUCACAUUAUAUGCUGGCACCUGCCUUUUUUGCUUAAUGAAAAUGUCAAAGGUAAUAUUACCAAUCAAUCAGUAUAUUUCACCAUCGUGUUUAAUUUCUGCAGAGCACUUAUUCAAGCACAUACUGCAUUUUUCUUAGUCACUCACUGGUGGGAAUAGAAAGUUUUCUCAGGCAUGCAUUUUUCCCACUUCUGAAAUGAUCUCCUUAGAAUAAAUUCCCCAAAUUGUAUUGCUGGGUUCAAAGGCAUGAACAUUUUACAUUUUUAUACAAUAAUCUCAAACUACCUUCUGGAAAUGAUGCUCACUUUACUUUCCCUCCAAGACUGCGUGAAAAUGCCCAUUUUCCUAAAUGCUUACUAUGACUGGUUUCCAACUACAUUUUAAUUCUUGUUCAAUCUGAUAGGUAAAAAAUGAUAUUUAAUUUUUAUUUGAUUGAUAAUGACCUUGAACGUGCCUAUUAGCCUUUUGCAUGUAUUCUUUUAUGAAACAUCUGUUCCUAUCCUUCAUCAAUGUUCCUCUUCAUAUGUUAACUUUUCUUAUUGAUUUGUUAGAGCACUUUGUAUAUGGUGAAUAUUAGCUUUUGUGAUCAGAAUUAUGGAACUGUUGUUGUCUUUAGUUUUGCUUAUCAAGGUUAAAGCCAUUCAGAGAUGUUGUAAAUGUGUAUGUUGUUAAAUUUAUGUCUUAUUUUGUGUUUUCUGAUCCUCCUAUGUUUAGAAUGGUCAAGCAACCCCAACUUAUGAUUACAUAAAUAUUCUCCCAUAUUUGCUCUUAGCAUUUUUUUUUCUUUUCAUGUAACCCUUUGUUCUUUCAGGAAUUUACUUUGCGGUAAGAAAUGGGCUGGCUUCCAGUUUUAUGUUUCCCAAAUGGUGAUUCAGCUGUUCCAUUUCCAUAUUCUCCCUUAUUAGAAAUGACCACUAUAUUACGUUCUAAAAUAUCUGCAUACUUGUGUCCCUUCCUAUAAUCUCAGUUCAUCUCUUUGAGCUAUCUUUUGAUUCCUUUUUCAAACCACACUGCUUUACUGAACUGUCAUCAUCUUAUACAUUUUUAAUACUCAGCAAGACAACUUUCUCAAUGCCACUCUUUUUCAGAGUUUUUCUGGUGGUUGUAAGAUGUUUAUUCUUCUGGAUAAACUUUAGAAUCACUCUUUUUGUCCAAGGUAAAAUAUAUCCCACAUUGAGAUCAUACUGAAUGUACAGACUAAUUCAGGAAAAAAUGUAUGUCUUUAUUGCAUUGAGUCUUCUUAUCCAAUAAAAAAGAUAUGAAUUUCCAUGUAUUGAAAUCUUCACUGAGACUUAUUUUUGGCUUUUCACAUGUCCUGCAAAUGUAUUGUUAAAUUUAUUUUUAGGUAUUUCAGGGGAAAUGAUUUUCUAAAGUUUGUAUUUUCUAGCUUGUUAUAAUUUACAUAUGAGAUAGUCAUUGUUGUAUAUUAUUUAUAACUGAUCAUAUUACUGUACUUUUAUUGUUUUAAUAGUUUUUCUAUUAUUUUGGGUUUUCCUGGAAUACAACCUUAUUAUCUACAAAUUAUGAUUGCUUUGCCUUUUCCAAUGUUCAUAACUGUUUUUAUAUUCUUGUCAGAUUGCUUUGUUCAGCACUUCUAGAAUAAAGUCAUGCAAUACUAGUGAU